GAUCCUGGCUCAGGAUGAACGCUGGCGGCGUGCUUAACACAUGCAAGUCGAACGAAGCACUUAAUGAGAUUUCUUCGGAUUGAUUAUUUUGUGACUGAGUGGCGGACGGGUGAGUAACGCGUGGGUAACCUGCCCCAGACCGGGGGAUAACAGUCGGAAACGACUGCUAAUACCGCAUAAGCGCACAGUGCCGCAUGGCACGGUGUGAAAAACUCCGGUGGUCUGGGAUGGACCCGCGUCCGA
Molecule: ribosomal RNA, 243 nt
Filed under: uncultured bacterium
Lineage: Bacteria
Description: partial 16S ribosomal RNA
Rfam family: Bacterial small subunit ribosomal RNA
Source: RNAcentral